GUGGGGAAUCUUCCGCAAUGGACGAAAGUCUGACGGAGCAACGCCGCGUGAGUGAAGAAGGUUUUCGGAUCGUAAAGCUCUUUCGUUAGGGACGAACGUGCUCUUUGUGAAUAAUGAGGAGUAAUGACGGUACCUAAAUAAGAAGCCACGGCUAACUACGUGCCAGCAGCCGCGGUAAUACGUAGGUGGCAAGCGUUUUCCGGUAUUAUUGGGCGUAAAGCGCGCGCAGGCGGGAUAUCAAGUCUGUCUUAAAAGUGCGAGGCUCAACCUCGUGAGGGGACGGAAACUGGUAUUCUUGAGUGUCGGAGAGGAAAGUGGAAUUCCAAGUGUAGCGGUGAAAUGCGUAGAGAUUUGGAAGAACACCAGUGGCGAAGGCGACUUUCUGGACGAUGUCUGACGCUGAGGCGCGAAAGCUAGGGGAGCGAACGGGAUUAGAAACCCGGGUAGUCC
Molecule: ribosomal RNA, 450 nt
Filed under: uncultured bacterium
Lineage: Bacteria
Description: partial 16S ribosomal RNA
Rfam family: Bacterial small subunit ribosomal RNA
Source: RNAcentral